UGGGGAAUAUUGCACAAUGGGCGAAAGCCUGAUGCAGCAACGCCGCGUGAGUGAUGAAGGUCUUCGGAUCGUAAAGCUCUGUCUUUUGGGACGAUAAUGACGGUACCAAAGGAGGAAGCCACGGCUAACUACGUGCCAGCAGCCGCGGUAAUACGUAGGUGGCGAGCGUUGUCCGGAUUUACUGGGCGUAAAGGGUGCGUAGGCGGAUGUUUAAGUGAGAUGUGAAAUACCCGGGCUUAACUUGGGUGCUGCAUUUCAAACUGGAUAUCUAGAGUGCAGGAGAGGAGAAUGGAAUUCCUAGUGUAGCGGUGAAAUGCGUAGAGAUUAGGAAGAACACCAGUGGCGAAGGCGAUUCUCUGGACUGUAACUGACGCUGAGGCACGAAAGCGUGGGUAGCAAACAGGAUUAGAUACCCUGGUAGUCCACGCCGUAAACGAUGAGUACUAGGUGUAGGAGGUAUCGACCCCUUCUGUGCCGCAGUAAACACAUUAAGUACUCCGCCUGGGAAGUACGAUCGCAAGAUU
Molecule: ribosomal RNA, 524 nt
Filed under: uncultured bacterium
Lineage: Bacteria
Description: partial 16S ribosomal RNA
Rfam family: Bacterial small subunit ribosomal RNA
Source: RNAcentral